This 1984-nucleotide long non-coding RNA is filed under the name Mytilus galloprovincialis (Mediterranean mussel). Lineage: Eukaryota; Metazoa; Mollusca; Bivalvia; Mytilida; Mytilidae. The record is from RNAcentral.
UCUUCAUAUAAAUACCAGUGAAAUGAAAUGAAAUUGUGUAUGGUAGUAGAUAGAGCAGGGUUUCCAAAGAAUCCCUAUUUUUAGUUUCUACAUAAAAGAAAAUCUUCCUAAACAAUCACUUCUACAUAAUUAUAUUAUUCUGAAUAAAAAUACUUAAAUUGAUCACCAAAACCAUUAAACAAAUUUGCAUAAAGUAUAAAAUAAUAUAAGUAAAAAAAUAAUUUAGAACAAAAUAUUAAAAAAACCCCUCAAAUUCCAAUCCAUCUGCAACCGUCAACAUUAUCCUUUCCAAGCUAUGGCAAAUUUUGUUUCAAAAUCAACAUUUAAAAAUGAGCAAAAAUCUUUGCAAAAGGCAUAAAAAUGAAAAUAUAUCAAUUAAUUACAGCAUCUUGUAUUAUAAUACUCUUCUUCGGUAAAUUAAUCAAUAAUGUCCGUCUACUUUUGUUAAAUGUGGGUAUAACUCUUUGAAAGUCUAGAUAAUAUGUUCAAGUCCCUUUCAGAAGUUAGAAGCCAGGUUCAUUGGUGGGUCUAGGGGAUGUUUAAGGGUUAGAACCCAACCUUUUUUUUCUAAAAAAGUUAUGGGAAAGUGUCAUGGAGUUCAGGGUUUGGAACCGAGCUUUGGGUUAAAGGCUGUCUUUUGUCAUAUCUUAACAUGUAUUUUUCUUUGUUUACUUACAAAUUGUUAAAUCUACUUACUACUUGUAAGGGUGAUGGACCUUUUAAGGUAAUUUAGGUUUGGCCCCUUUAAUUUGUGGACAAUCGAAAACAGUCAAAUAUAACAGGGGGAUUUCAGAAAUUUGGGAUUUAAUUAUAUUGUGAGAUGAAAACAGAUACACUUUUUUCACAAAAAAAUCAUAAAUUGACAUUUAAAUUCAGGAGGAGACUGUCUCCUACCGUCUACUUUAGUAGAUAGGAUACAUUUAGUGCAUAAUACAUUGUAUAGGCGCAAAUUUUGCAUGGCUAUUAUGGUAUAGGGUUUACAAUUGAUUUGGUUUAUUUUGGAUGGAGUCUUGUUGUCAUUUUCCAAAUAUAUACGUUUAUUCCUAUCUAAAUCAGAAAUUAUUAGAUAUUUUGGAAUGUAAUCAGAAAAUGUUUAAUUAAUAUGCCUAGUAAUAACACAAACAAACGCUCCAUAGAGAAACAAGUGAUAUAUGAGUAUUUAAAGGUGAAUCGCAUCAAUACUGAGAUAGCACUAGAUGUUUCAUAGUAAAAGUAUUCAAAAUAAGCCAACACCAGGAACUAUUAAAUUAUUAUUCCAUUAAAAGUAUUAUGCCAUUAACAAGCACUUUGGAUGAAAUUAAGAAGUUACUAAAUAUCAUAAAAUGGGACUUUCUCAUAAACUACACAAAAAUAUAUAAGUGUCUAUAAAUGAAUAUAUCCUAGAAGAUUUACCAUAACAAAAGUCAUGUAAGAAUAAAAUGGUUGGUUGAUACAUAUGAAAUUUAGGAAAUUACCUUUCAUGAAGAAUGUAUGGUAUGAAUCAUAUUUUAGAUAUUAUACGUUUCAGAGUUACGUGUGAAAUGCAUUUUUAUUUAACUAGUACAUAUUUUUUAAAGGGCCACCUAAAGCCAGCCUCUGGAGGCAGGAUUUAUUGAUGUGUUGAAGACCCAAUGGUGAUGUUGGGCUGCUUUCUGCUCUAUGACACAUUCCCUAUUUCUAUUCUCAAGUUUAACCUCCUACUGCACUGUAUUUUGUCAAAGUAGGAUGCAGGAAUGUGUCCCCAAACUUUUUCAUCAGCCCUGAUAAUUAUACAACCUUACUUUUAUUGUUACCUUUUCUUACUGUGAUUUUUUUUAUUUUUGUUUUACACUUAUUUUAAGUAAUUCUAUAAGGAAAGAUUGUAGUAUUAACAAUAAACAAGAAUGUGUCCUCAGUACACGAAUGCCCCACUCGCACUAUCAUUUUCUAUGUUCAGUGGACCGUGAAAUUGGGGUAAAAUCUCUAAUUUUGCAUUAAAAUUAGAAAGAUCAUAUCAUAGGGAACA